Molecule: ribosomal RNA, 250 nt
Filed under: uncultured Prevotella sp.
Lineage: Bacteria; Pseudomonadati; Bacteroidota; Bacteroidia; Bacteroidales; Prevotellaceae
Description: partial 16S ribosomal RNA
Rfam family: Bacterial small subunit ribosomal RNA
Source: RNAcentral
CGUCGACCGGCGCACGGGUGAGUAACGCGUAUCCAACCUUCCCAUUACUGUGGGAUAACCUGCCGAAAGGCAGACUAAUACCGCAUAGUCUUCGAUGACGGCAUCAGAUUCGAAGCAAAGAUUCAUCGGUAACGGAGGGGGAUGCGUCUGAUUAGCUUGUUGGCGGGGCAACGGCCCACCAAGGCGACGAUCAGUAGGGGUUCUGAGAGGAAGGUCCCCCACAUUGGAACUGAGACACGGUCCAAACUCC